CGCGAACGGCGCGUUAAUUGUAAACGGCCCUGUCGCAGUACAGAAAAAAUCGUCAAACGAACUAAGCGCAGGCGACUCGUGGACUGUACAGUUCUAGGAAACAUUUCAGUUGAAUGUUUUCACUGGGGAGGGUGAAAGAAGCGAUUAUACGAAGGCGAAUUGUGAAGAGAUGUCAAAAUCUGCAAUUUUUCUAGCUAUUGUCGAUUCGUCUAAGAAUAAUUAAGGCUGCAUGCCAAUCAAUGUAAAUCAUAAAAUAGAGCAUUUCUGCUGUCGACGUGGAUUUGAUUGGGAAGAACUAGAGUUAGAUCAAAUUCUUCCAAUUUUCGCUCAAUUAACUAAUGACGUUCAACAAUCAAGCAGUUAAGAAUUAAUAAAUUCAUGGUAUAUCAUGAGUGUUUUUUCAAGCGCCGUCUCCUGUGAAGCAUAUCUACCAUUUUCGUGCAAAGCUCUCUGGAAAGCGUAUUGACUGUGUAUGCAUGCAUGCAUCUAUCGAACUUCGUGCACAUAUAGACGUGAUGCUUUGACGAUAAAUACUUAUUAAAAUUCAAAUUAUUUAUUUCUGCCUUGUAAAGGUACAGACAGCAGAGGCGCAGAAAAAGCUGUCAGAUACAGAUUGACAAAGCCGCAGCCCCCUUUCGCUUGGCAGAGCCUUCACAGCGACACUUUUAAAACAAAGACAAUUGCACCCGGUAAUAACAGGUAUACAAUACUGAGCAAGUACAAAAGGAAACCAAUCAAGAUUAUACGAUAUUUGUACAAUACUCCCAAACAAGAAAACAGAACCUACAUGCUAACGUACAUAGCACCCAAAGUACUGUUCGACACGUUGAAGAAGUCAAAAUUAUUGUUCACAUAAGGUAUAUACAUAUUCGUAUAGCGCUACCAAUCCCUGCAAAAUAUAGAACGCAGAUUUUCAUUACACACACGCACGCACGCACGUGCACAGCACACACACCAAAAGGAAACGGCAACGCGCUCACAGGAAGCGCCUGAAAAACGAAAAAAAAAAGGAAAAGUGUGGGGAACCGAGGUCGUCUUGGGCUGUCGCCUCUCCUCUCCCAGAAGGAAUGAAGAGGUUCUUGGAAAGCAGGGACGGGCGAUUCUCUCUGUCAGCAUCAGCUCCCACCAGCGAGGACGGGGCGAGAAAGCGAAACGGGACUUUCCUUGCUGUCUAUUUUUUCUUCGUCAGGCCAACGCCGCUUGCUUGCAGGGGCGCAGGCGAGUUCCCGCCAAAUGGCGCGGGUGCGUGAGUUGCCGCCAAAUGCUAGCUCUGGAUGCCAGCUCGUUCCGCGUCUCAUGGUAGACUAGUUGGUGCAUUUCUGUUAUCAUGGACUGCGCAUAUAAACGCAAGCUACACAAAAGUGACAUGGACAAGAACAGCGCAAGCCCUUUACAUGCAGUGGAGCCGCCGUAUCUCGCCGUUCAAGAUAUGCGUACUCGAAAAAAAAAAAAAGGAGGCUUUACAUGCGAACGGAUCAAGCGUUCGAGAGUUGGGACAGGGAAAUGUGAGACGUACGUAUGUAUAUAUUUCUAAUAUUAUUUUUUCGUCUUGUAUUCUCGUUAAUUUUUCUCUAGGAAACACUGGAACGACACUGCUUAAAUUGAAGCACAGUGUGCGAAUGACCUGCUACGCUCGGAACUGUUAUCACCAUUCGGGAAGAAAUUGGGUAAGAAUGGAUUGUGUGUGGCGCGCUUCACCGCAUGUGGACUAGAGUAGAUCUAGGAACAUCAGACAAGAAGACACGUAUGUGAAACCCUGCGGAUAGCCCAUAUGUGAACUUUUUUUCCAGAUACGGAGGAACGGACACCGGUCAUGCCGUGCGCACUCUUCUGCAGGGCAUACUUACAAAUGAAGCUGCACUGCAGUUCAGCUGGAAAGGGUCGCAGGGGAGGAAGCACGCCUUCGUGAAGCUCAUGGCCAUCACGAAUAUAACAUCUGUGAGGAGCACGUUCCCUGACGCUUCACUAGCAUCAGUGGCUGGAGUCGCAAAACGCCGGUUGGUUGGAGCAGCUGACAGGGAUGGAGGCCGGAAUGAAAGAAGGCGCCGUGACCCUGCUUCAAGCCCACCAAAUAUGAACUAGUGUUUGAAACUUGUGAACGUGUCGGUGUACAUAUACAAUUACAAGAAAUAAAGACCUGUAUCAGAA
Molecule: non-coding RNA, 2148 nt
Organism: Dermacentor andersoni
Lineage: Eukaryota; Metazoa; Arthropoda; Arachnida; Ixodida; Ixodidae
Source: RefSeq, a predicted model, not a curated record